Molecule: ribosomal RNA, 457 nt
Filed under: uncultured bacterium
Lineage: Bacteria
Description: bacterial SSU rRNA
Rfam family: Bacterial small subunit ribosomal RNA
Source: RNAcentral
AGUGAACGUUGGCGGCGUGGAUUAGGCAUGCAAGUCGAGCGAUCGUAGCAAUACGGGAGCGGCAAACGGGGUAGGAAUACAUCGGAACGUACCUUUUGGUUGAGAAUAGCGUUGGGAAACUGACGGUAAUACUCAAUAAAGUCGAGAGACCAAAGGUUUACUGCCGGAAGAGCGGCCGAUGCGAUAUUAGGUAGUUGGUGGGGUAAUGGCCUACCAAGCCUGAGAUGUCUAGGGGGUGUGAGAGCAUGGCCCCCACCACUGGGACUGAGAUACUGCCCAGACACCUACGGGUGGCUGCAGUCGAGGAUCCUCGUCAAUGGGCGAAAGCCUGAACGAGCGACGCCGCGUGCGGGAUGAAGGCCCUUGGGUUGUAAACCGCUGUCAGGGGGAUGAAACCGUAAGGUUGACAGAGCCCCAGAGGAAGCACGGGCUAAGUCGUGCCAGCAGCCGCGGUAAU